UACAGGUGGGGCAAGCGUUGUUCGGAAUUACUGGGCGUAAAGGGUGCGUAGGUGGUUUGUUAAGUCAGGGGUGAAAUCCCGCGGCCCAACCGUGGAACUGCCUUUGAUACUGGCGAACUUGAGUGCGUGAGGGGUAGGGGGAACGAGCAGUGUAGCGGUGAAAUGCGUAGAUAUUGCUCGGAAGGCCAGAGCCGAAGGGGCCCUACUGGUGCGUAACUGACACUGAGGCACGAAAGCGUGGGGAGCAAACAGG
RNAcentral lists this ribosomal RNA (253 nucleotides) under uncultured bacterium. RNAcentral describes it as "partial 16S ribosomal RNA". It matches the Rfam family "Bacterial small subunit ribosomal RNA", at positions 524 to 776 of the family's 1533-position model. The record is from RNAcentral.